This 497-nucleotide ribosomal RNA is filed under the name uncultured bacterium. Its description in RNAcentral is "partial 16S ribosomal RNA". It matches the Rfam family "Bacterial small subunit ribosomal RNA", at positions 28 to 507 of the family's 1533-position model. The record is from RNAcentral.
GAUGAACGCUGGCGGCGUGCCUAAUACAUGCAAGUCGAACGAACAGACGUGGAGCUUUCUCCUCUUACGUUAUCGGGGGACAGGGGAGUGACACGUGGAUAACCUAUCUAUAAGACUGGGGGAACUUCGUUAAACCGGAGCGAAUACAGGAUAAUAUAUUUAACCGCAUUAUUCAAGAGUGAAAGAAGGUUUUUCUUUCACUUAUGGAUGGAUCCGCGCCGAAUUAUCUAGUUGGUAAGGUAACGGCUUACCAAGGCAACGAUGAGUAGCCGACCUGAGAGGGUGAUGGGCCCAACGGGAAGUGAGACAGGGUCCAGACUCCACCGGGAGGAAGCAGUAGGGAAUUUUCGGCAAGGAGCGAAAGCCUACCGGAGCACCGCCGCGUGAGUAAUGAAGGUCUUCGGAUCUUAAACCUCUGUUAUUAGGGCAGAAGAAAUGUGUACGUAACUAUGCACGUAUUGACGGUACCUAAUCAGAAAGCCACGGCUAACUACGUG